CCUACGGGAGGCAGCAGUGGGGAAUAUUGCACAAUGGGGGAAACCCUGAUGCAGCGACGCCGCGUGAGUGAAGAAGUAAUUCGUUACGUAAAGCUCUAUCAGCAGGGAAGAAACACUGACCUUACGGUCAGCAGACGGUACCUGAGUAAGAAGCCACGGCUAACUACGUGCCAGCAGCCGCGGUAAUACGUAGGGGGCAAGCGUUAUCCGGAUUUACUGGGUGUAAAGGGAGCGUAGACGGUGGGCCAAGUCUGGAGUGAAAUGCCGCAGCUUAACUGCGGAACUGCUUUGGAAACUGGCGAACUAGAGUGCGGGAGGGGUAAGCGGAAUUCCUAGUGUAGCGGUGAAAUGCGUAGAUAUUAGGAGGAACACCGGUGGCGAAGGCGGCUUACUGGACCGUAACUGACGUUGAGGCUCGAAAGCGUGUGGAGCAAACAGGAUUAGAUACCCCUGUAGUC
Molecule: ribosomal RNA, 458 nt
Filed under: uncultured bacterium
Lineage: Bacteria
Description: partial 16S ribosomal RNA
Rfam family: Bacterial small subunit ribosomal RNA
Source: RNAcentral